AUAAGGGAAAAAUUCGAAGCCAUUCAAAGAACGUACGUUCUCUGCAUGAAACAAAGGACCGUAUAAUAAUCAACGGUCUCUGAUAAAACUCUUGCUGUCCAGGUUAAACGGAUGUAAGUUUUCGAGUAAAUUGCAAUUGGUCAAAAAUUGUAACCAAGUCUGAAACCGUCAGCAGCAUGUACGGUGACUAUAUACCGCAGCCAUCGAAUCAUGUGAUUGAUGAACCUUUAAAAUUAUUCCAAUACAAAACACACAAAUUUUUAUUUUUAAACAAGAAUAUGUAUAUUAUGUAUUUCGUUUAAGUAUGAUCAUCAAUUCAACUACAGUCGAAUUAGAAGUUUUAUUUAUCAUACACAUCCGUCCUGCGUCCCUUAGAUUUACAAAAUUCUGUAAAAUUUCAUAUUUGCUAUUUAUAUUUUUUCUAAAAUAUUUAUUAUUAAAUAUUUGGAAAUUAUAUUGAUCCCACACACAUACUCUUGUACAAGAGGAAAAUAAAAACAUAAAAAUAUAAGUAUGUAUGCAAAUAUAAUGCAACACUAUUAAUUCAGAAUAAAUAAAUUUACAAAAUAUAGAUGUUAAAUAUACACUACGUAUGAAAGAUUUUUAUUACAUAAAGUACUUCUGCUAUGCGUGACGCAAGACGAUUGCAUUAGUAUCACAUAAUUUCAAAGUGCAAAGUGCGUCAUUUAGCAUACAAAAUCGAAAUCAUAUAAAUUUCAUUUGCAGUUUAAGACAUAUUACAUUAUUAACAUAAAGUUAUAAUUUCCAAACAUACGUAUGUAUGUACUUUUGGAUUACAAAAUUAACUACUUUGUUGAUUCUGGCAAUCCGUUGAAGAUCACUUGCAAGAUGCUUAAUAAUUUUCGUUUUCAUGUUUUUUUUUGUGUGUUUGUUGUAUUAAAUUAUAAAUUCUCUACUAUCCGUACAACAAAAUCAUAA
This is a long non-coding RNA of Ceratitis capitata (Mediterranean fruit fly), 939 nucleotides long. RefSeq lists it as uncharacterized. NCBI's taxonomy places the organism in Eukaryota, Metazoa, Arthropoda, Insecta, Diptera, Tephritidae. The record is from RefSeq and is a predicted model, not a curated record. The transcript is spliced from 2 exons.